RNAcentral lists this ribosomal RNA (875 nucleotides) under uncultured crenarchaeote. RNAcentral's name for it is "bacterial SSU rRNA". It matches the Rfam family "Archaeal small subunit ribosomal RNA", at positions 21 to 903 of the family's 1478-position model. Lineage: Archaea; Thermoproteati; Thermoproteota. The record is from RNAcentral.
CCUGACUGCUAUCGGAUUGAUACUAAGCCAUGCGAGUCUUUGCAGUAAUGCAAGGCAUACGGCUCAGUAACACGUAGUCAACUUACCCUAUGGACGAGGAUAAUCUCGGGAAACUGAGCAUAAUACUCGAUAGAUCAUAAUGCCUGGAAUGGUUUAUGGUUGAAAUGAUUCGUCGCCAUAGGAUGGGACUGCGGCCUAUCAGCUUGUUGGUGAGGUAAUGGCCCACCAAGGCGAUUACAGGUACGGGCUCUGAGAGGAGAAGCCCGGAGGUGGGUACUGAGACAAGGACCCAGGCCCUAUGGGGCGCAGCAGGCGAGAAAACUUUGCAAUGUGCGAAAGCACGACAAGGUUAAUCCGAGUGAUUUCUGCUAAAGAAAUCUUUUGCAAGUCAUAAAACCACUAGUGAAUAAGGGGUGGGCAAGUUCUGGUGUCAGCCGCCGCGGUAAAACCAGCACCUCAAGUGGUCAGGAGGAUUAUUGGGCCUAAAGCAUCCGUAGCCGGCUCUGUAAGUUUUCGGUUAAAUCCAUGUGCUCAACGCAUGGGCUGCCGAAAAUACUGCAUAGCUAGAGAGUGGGAGAGGUAGACGGUACUCGGUAGGAAGGGGUAAAAUCCUUUGAUCUAUUGAUGACCACCUGUGGCGAAGGCGGUCUACCAGAACACGUUCGACGGUGAGGGAUGAAAGCUGGGGGAGCAAACCGGAUUAGAUACCCGGGUAGUCCCAGCUGUAAACGAUGCAGACUCGAUGAUGCAUUGGCAUAUAGCCAGUGCAGUGUCGCAGGGAAGCCGUUAAGUCUGCCGCCUGGGAAGUACGUACGCAAGUAUGAAACUUAAAGGAAUUGGCGGGGGAGCACCACAAGGGGUGAAGCCUGCGGUUC